GAAAACAAGGUCACCAACCUUAUACUCACUGUCCCUAGAGUGUUGGUCUGCGAUGCUUUUCUGUCGGUCUUGUGCUGCCUUUAGGCCACACUUUGGCUGGUUUCUGGGCUACCUUUAAAUGCUCAUAUCUUCUACGAUUGGUACCUUGCACGAUGGCUAACUCACUGCGGUUUGGCCGGAAAAUGCCUCGAAAUUUGACUGUUCGUGGGAAAACUGUUAACUCGUCGAAAUUUCUAGGUAAACUUUAAACGUCUAUAACUUUGUUAAUACUCAACGAAAUUGAGUGAUUCAAAAGCCAAAAUAUAGUUAGGAAUGUGGAAAAGAGAUUCAUACCAAGUAAGGACUGAUUAGUGGACGGAGUUGGCUCGAAAAUUUCCUGAAAGAUGGCCAAACAACCACAGCCUGGAAAUUUCCAUAUUUGCACAUUGACUUUCCUUGACCUUUUCCGAGUUCCUACACCACCAAAACCACCCAAAAACUUACUAACUAUGAACCUAGACAUGAUCUACAAUGAGAGGGACCAAUUUCGAGGCUUACCUUUGUCGGAAAUGGUGAGAAAUCGCCGAAGAAGUUCCUUGAACAGUGCAGCUCUGGGGUAAGUUUUUGAAUGGUUUUUCUUUUAU
RNAcentral lists this long non-coding RNA (623 nucleotides) under Malus domestica (apple). RNAcentral describes it as "long non-coding RNA (MDOM_LNC006070)". The record is from RNAcentral. Lineage: Eukaryota; Viridiplantae; Streptophyta; Magnoliopsida; Rosales; Rosaceae.